This is a non-coding RNA of Anolis sagrei ordinatus, 4827 nucleotides long. NCBI's taxonomy places the organism in Eukaryota, Metazoa, Chordata, Lepidosauria, Squamata, Anolidae. The record is from RefSeq and is a predicted model, not a curated record.
GUUCUUUUUCCUUCUCCAGCCUGCUCCAGCCUUCCCAAAUCAACAACAUGACAUACUUCUACAGGACUCUUGCAGUCUUCUGGGUCUUGAUUGAAGGGGUCCUGGCAGGACCAUGGAGCGCCUGGAUGCCUGAGCACAUCAGUGCCUUUGAAGGCACCUGCGUCGUCAUCCCAUGCCGCUUCAACUACCCUGAUGAACUACGGCCCUCAGCGGUGCAUGGCAUCUGGUAUUUCAACAGUCCUUAUCCCAAGAACUAUCCCCCAGUGGUCUUCAAAUCCCGCACCAAUAUUGUCCAUGAGAGCUACGUUGGACGCAGCCGUUUGCUAGGAGAGCUGAAUUUCCGCAAUUGCACCCUGCAGCUCUCUCGCCUUAGUCCUGAACUCACAGGCAAAUACUACUUUCGUGGCGACCUGGGCGGCUACAAUCAGUACACCUACCCUGAGCAUUGCAACCUCGAGGUCAUCAACAAACCCACCAUCGUGAGCCCCCCAGAAGUGGUGGAAGGAACAGAAGUGGAGCUGAGAUGUGUAGUGCCCGACAACUGCCCCGACAUGAAGCCCAUUAUUACAUGGAUGAACUAUGAGACCCUGACUGAACGUUCUGUCUAUGCCCAAGUGGAAGAGGAGGGCAGCACCUGGUCGCUCAUCUCCCUGCUCAAGUUCAUGCCGCAGCGAGAGAACCACGGGCGCGAGUUGGGCUGCAAAGUCACCUACGCCAACACCACUUUUGAGUUUGAAGGAUACACCACCUUGGAUGUAAAAUUCCCACCUCGUAUUGUGCAGGCGAACUCCUCCAUGGAUGUGAUCCAUGGCUCAGACGUGGUGCUGAUAUGUUCUGUAGACAGCAGCCCUAUGGCUCUGAUCACAUGGCUCCGAGAAGAUGAAGUCCUACAUGAGGACGUGGCUGGGAACCUCACGCUACAUCUAGAAAAUGUCACUUACCUCCAGGAUGGCAUCUACACUUGUAUGGCUGAGAACAUCUAUGGCAAAGACAACCAUUCCCUGGCUUUGGCUGUGCUAUAUGCCCCUUGGAAACCAGUUGUGAACACAUCCGUGGUGGCGGUUGAGGGAGAUCCUGUAAGCAUCCUCUGCACCUCACAGAGCAACCCCGAGCCCACCAUCACCAUCUUCAAGGAGAAGAAGCCAAUGGCUAUGGGAGUCUACCAGAACCAGGUGUCCUUGGAGUUUGAGUCAGUGUCUCAUGAGGAUGAUGGGGAAUACUGGUGCACAGCAGAGAACCAGUUCGGUCAGCGCAGCACAGCCUUCAACCUCACCAUUGAAUUUGCUCCAAUUAUCCUGCCAGAUUCCAAGUGCACAGCAGCUCGGGACACAGUGAAGUGCAUCUGUGCGGCCAAAUCCAACCCGGAGGCCGUGAUCACUUUUGAGCUGCCUACGCGUAAUGUGACGGUGAACGAGACGGACCGGGAGUUUGUGUACUCACAGAAAACAGGCUAUGUUGUCACCAGCAUCCUCACUGUUCAGAGGGAGGUGGACUCCCAGCUGUUCAUCGUCUGCUCUGCCAGGAACCACUACGGCACCAAGAAUCAACAACUGCAGUUCCAUCACUCCAACAGUCUGAUGUGGGCAAAAGUGGGGCCUGUUGGAGCAGUGGUCGCCUUUGCCAUCCUUAUAGCUGUGGUGUGUUAUGUCAGCCAGACCAGGAAAAAGAAAAACACAAACGAAAGCUCCAGCUUUAUGCAAACAGACAACCCCCCUGCUGUCUUCAGUGGAGACUACAGGGGUCCAGGCAAACUGGAGAAAUCAGAGGUACUGGAAGAUGAAAGAGGUAGAAGCUAUGCCAGUGCUAGGUUUGGAAGUUCCUGGACAAGAUAGUUUGAGGGUGCCCACAGCCCUCCUAUAGUUCCUGUAAUCUAUUCACUUGCUUUUCUCCUUUUGGCCCAGGGCAGGCAUUUUGUGGCCCUUCCUCCCUAUGUUUUUUGGACUCCAGCUCUCAUGAUCUCUGCUCAUUAGCUAAGCUAACUAGGGCUGAUGGGAGCUUCAGUUGAACAUAUGAAGAGCUGCUUCCUAGCAUUAAAGCAUUUGCAUCUUUUGUCUCUCAGCACUUGCUUGCUCAGAUAGUCUCAAGUGAACAGACAGUGGCAAUAAGCAAGGAGAAGUCCAGGACCAAAACACUUCUUGUUUUGGAAAUGCUUUUCAUGGCAUGCCUAAUAAUGUGACUACUGGCUGCCAGACUUUGACCAGAAAGUCAUGGUUUGGCAUCCAGAUGCAUCACAAAGACACAUAUGACAGUGUUACAGAUACUGUACACGUGCCAGAUGGGCCAACCCCAAAUACACCCCUUCCCGUCCAAGUUUGAGAAAGGCCAUUCUUGAAUUCUUCGUCUUCACGUGUGGCCCAUAAUCAUGGUGCUUGAAACUAAAAUCACAGUUUGAGUCCGGGCCCUUCCACACAGCUAUAUAACUCAGAAUAUCAAGGCAGGAAAUCCCACGACAUCUGCUUUGAACUGGGUUAUCUGAGUCCACACUACCAUAUAUUCCAGUUCAAGGCAUAUAAUGUGGGAUAUUAUUAAUAUGUGUGGAAGGGGCCUCAGAAGAAGAACAUCUGGGUAGCAAAUAGGAUGUGGGUUAAGGAAUAGCCUCCAUGAAUGGAGUAGCAGGAAAAGGGCUGAGAGAUACAAUGGCUGUGGUCCUGUAUAGCACAGCAUAGUGUAAUACUGGGUUGCUGUGAGUUUUCUGGACUGUAUGACCAUGUUCCAGAAGCAUUCUCUCCUGACAUUUCGCCUGCAUCUAUGGCAGGCAUCCUCAGAGGCUCUACAGCCCGGAAAACUCACAGCAACCCAGUGAUUCCAGUCACGAAAGCCUUCGACAAUACAUAGUGUAAUCGUUCCACAUGCAGAAGUAUGCUACACUAAGCCAUUCAAUAUCGCCUGGACCUGUGAAUGAGCCACCGCAGGCCCUUUUUCCCAUGGCUAUUCAGUGACGAGCUGGAAGCAAGAAAGGGAAUCAGAGAAGCCUCUGGUUUUGCUCUCGUAGCCAGACAUAGAAUGGUUAGAUCAUCCACUGAGAACUAUAGAGGUCCUUCAAAGGUCUCAUAAUUCUGUGUCUAGCUACAGAAACACAACCAGACAGUUCCUCAAUUCCUCUCCACGCUCUCCACCAACCUUGCAAUGGCUAUAUAGGGCUGCAGUGGCUGCAUAGUAAAUCUGGGGAGGGAACCUUGGUCAUUUCAGAAGGUGGAAAGGAAUACUCACCUCCUAAGAGAAAGAACACUCACAUGUGUGUGUUUGUGUGUAUGUGCAAUGUUUCUAUCCUGGUGGCUUCAUCUAGAAUGAACCAAUGCCAGCAGAUAGCAUUGGAAUGAAUCAGCUCCAGGUAUUAGUGUGAUUUUUAAAGGAGAUACCCAACGUAUUAAUGCUAUUUGGUUUAUGAAAUCAGAAUAUUUGUUAGCUUCUAAGACCUGGAGCAAAUUCACUGCCCCACUAGCUACUGUUGGGUACAGUUAUCAUAUGGUUAGUGGCACAGAUGUCAAUUUUAAAUUUGCAGGCCUCUAUCUUAACAAAUGUUGGAAAUAGCAACCUUCUAAAGCCUCCUAUAUUAGUUAUUUAUUAUGUAUAUAAUUGUGAAUUGCUUACUAUAUUGUAUGUAUAUGAUUUAAUAUGCAGUUUUGCCUUAACUCUAUGUUGUUUGAGGUUGUGGGAGGUACUGCUGACCAUGUGACUAGAUCUGGGACUAUUCAGACUGAGUCUCCAUUUUAGAAGCCAGUACAGUUGAGAACCAUUUAUUUAGAGUGUUUGCAUCAGAAGCAGUACAGUUUAGAAGUUAGUCAGUGUCAGUAUGUUGCCGUGAUAAGUCAGUCUGUAUUGAGUCAGUGUUCAGUAAUGUAGACUGAAGAGAGUGUUAGUCUGUAUGCAACAGCGAAGAGAUUAAAACAGAAUGCUUUAGAGAACUUACUGUUUAAACUCUCAACCAAUAAGAAAUGUACCUGUAUGCUGAAUACAUGAAAUUUGUAAAUAAGUAAAUCAACUAUAUUACUUUUAACUAAGACUACUUAUUUUUGGUUUCUUGAGAGCUUGAUUUAAAAAGCAAUAUAUUUUGUGGAAAGUAGAGUUUUUAGGCAAUUGAAAUAACACUUCUGAAAAUCUGCUAUAUAUUUUGUGCAUUGGCAUAAUAACGUUAAUAAAACUUUAUUUAUAGACCACUCUAUCUCCCCAAAGGGACUCAGGGUCGUUUCCAACAUAUAUGGCAAACAUUUAAUGCCCACGAGAAGACAUAUAAACAAAUUACAUCAAAAUGGAACACAUCAAACAAUAUAAACUUAAUAACAUACAAAAUUUAACCAGAAAAAUAAGCUUAAGCAUAUCUUUGUUCCUAACAGUUCAGAGAGAUAACAAAAUACAUCGGUCUAACAACUGAGAACCCCAAUUUGCCUUGCAUGAAUACUAGUGGAUAUUUAUCACUAAGGAGAAGAUUAAUUCAAACAAGUAUUUAAAUCUUCUCAGGAAGAUCAUACUUUACAAAAGGAUGUGAUUAUUCCAAAUAGUGUGAGUGCCUAUCAAUCUCCAAAAGGGUCAUGCUUCCAAAACGCUAUGGAGAUUCCUGGUUUUCUAAAAGGUUAUGGUCUCUAAAAGGUAAUGCCUUUCCAAAAACGGGGGAGUCCCCAAAUUAAAAGCAGCUGGUGAUCCAUAUUAGCAAUACAAGUUCAAAACAACUGUAUGAAUUUUUCAUUUUCUGGUUGAAAGAAAGGGCUUCCUGAUAGUCUUGAAAUUCUGUUGGGAAGGAUAAGAGAGCAAAGAGUUUUCAUGUGGUUUUCUCCCUAUAUUUGAAUGUCUUGAAGUGUUCUAGAGGAUUUUUUAAAGAGAGUCUCGUUU